GUCAAAUAUAUGUCAUAUUUAAAGGUGUGGCAUGCUUUUGAUAUUCCUAAUUUAUUUAUGGAACUCAGUACUUUAUCAGUCACCUUUAUCGGAGGGUGGUUUGUCCCUGUAGUCAAUUUGGGGAUAGUUAUCAUUAUUAUGCAGAGGCUUUGAGCUCUUUAUUAGCUGAGAAUUUAUUAACGUAACAAAGUAAUCUGUCAUUUUUAUUAGCAUUGUUCUUCUAUGGGUGCUACAUUUAACACAAGUAAAUAUGCACAUAGAAAGAGAGAGAGAGUGGGGGAUCACGUGUAAUUGUCAGGAAUUUGUCAUGUAUCUAACUACUGUAAUCCUUUCAUGUGUUGCCUGGAACACUUUUACUGUUCAUAACUGAGAUGCUGCUAGGACUUGUAGUAUGUUGCUCAGAGAAAUUCAAGUUGUUGACCACUGAAGAACAACAUUUUAUUUGAUGGGACUCUUUCUAUAGUUUGAUAACUUAGGCACAAGUUUUAGAUAAUUGAACAAAACAAUUUGGGCUGUAAAAUACAAUGAAUUAAUUAAUUCUUUGAUAUAUGUGUUUUUAUUCUUUUGACCUGAAGGUUAGUUCACCAUGGACUAUAGUUA
RNAcentral lists this unclassified non-coding RNA (600 nucleotides) under Hevea brasiliensis (rubber tree). The record is from RNAcentral. Lineage: Eukaryota; Viridiplantae; Streptophyta; Magnoliopsida; Malpighiales; Euphorbiaceae.